ACUCAAAUGAAUAGACGGGGGCCCGCACAAGCGGUGGAGCAUGUGGAUUAAUUCGUCAUUAACCGAAGAACCUUACCAGGGUUUGACAUCCCCGGACCGCCGGUGAAAGCCGGUUUUCCUCUGGGAAACCAGGGGACUGGGAGACAGGUGUUGCAUGGCUGUCGUCAGCUCGUGUCGUGAGAUGUUGGGUUAAGUCCCGCAACGAGCGCAACCCUCACUGCCGGUUGCCAGCACGCAAGGUGGGCACUUUGGCAGAACUGCCCCGGCAACGGGGAGGAAGGUGGGGAUGACGUCAAGUCGGCAUGGCCCGUAUAUCCUGGGCUUCACACAUGCUACAAUGGGGAGGACAGAGGGCUGCGAGACCGUGAGGUGGAGCCAAUCCCACAAACCUCUCCCCAGUUCGGAUUGGAGGCUGCAACUCGCCUCCAUGAAGUCGGAAUCGCUAGUAACCGCCGGUCAGCAAAACGGCGGUGAAUACGUACCCGGGCCUUGCACACACCGCCCGU
RNAcentral lists this ribosomal RNA (506 nucleotides) under uncultured bacterium. RNAcentral describes it as "partial 16S ribosomal RNA". It matches the Rfam family "Bacterial small subunit ribosomal RNA", at positions 899 to 1397 of the family's 1533-position model. The record is from RNAcentral.